Molecule: long non-coding RNA, 1622 nt
Organism: Salarias fasciatus (jewelled blenny)
Lineage: Eukaryota; Metazoa; Chordata; Actinopteri; Blenniiformes; Blenniidae
Exons: 4
Source: RefSeq, a predicted model, not a curated record
AAGAGUCUGAGGACCAGGAAGUCUGGGCAUCCCUGCUUAGACUGCUGUCCCCGUGACCCGGUCCCAGAGGAGCCGUAAAUAAUGGAUGCAUGGAUGGAUUCAGGGAUUGAUUAUCGUUUUUGCUUUUCAAGUAUAUUUUGCUGUUCCUAAUAUUUCAUAAGUAUUGCUUGCUCACUUCCCUUGCUACUUCUAUGUGGAGAACUGAAAUCACCCUUCUGUCAUAAAGAUCUUUUCAUGUUUUAGUCUUAGUUCAUUUUCAUCCUUCAAACACAAUGAGAUAUCCAAUACGUGAAGAGAAGGGGAUCUUAGAUGUCUGGACAGACAAACAAAACGGAACAAAAAAUCAGUCUGUGAGGGAGGGAGAGACAGGAAGUGGCUGCACUAUCUGGUAUGAGAGCAAAUAUAUUCUCAUGCUACAAUUGAAGCUCUGGUCAGCUAGCAUGUCUCAAUGACAACUAAAAGUGUCAACAACCACAAACAUCACGUGACUUGAGACAUCUAAUAAAAACUCUCAACCUUGUGAGAGAUGGUAUCCACUUCUGCUGAAGUUACAAGCUUAUCUUCUCUCCCCUUAUGUUUAAAUGUCACUGUGACAAUAACUCCAUUAGCACCUGUCAGGUAAGUUGCUUUAGGAUUUCUUCAGGACGGUCUGGCAGGAUUUAUAUUGAUCUGACUGAAAUGGUUGUGUCAAGAUGUGUUGCUACGUUAAAAAAGACAGACACACAACUUAUCUUUUGGUGAAAAGAUUUUUUUAGUUUCUCAGAAGAAUUAUCAGACAUGAUAAUUCUGUCCUGUUCUUUUAGAGUCUCCAUUUCCGUAGAAGCGCCCACACAACCUGACACCCAGAGACGACCCCACCUCUUCAUACGGAAGUCACUGUCAGAGAGACUUCAGUCAGAUCAGCUACAAACAUCUCAGUGUAGGAACGAUGGAGACCCUGACCCUGAUCUCAGCUUUACUUUCUAUAUUCUGUUGGAUCUCUUCCUCCGUUGGUGAUUUUCGCACCGUCGAGGUUCUGCCUGGUGAAGAAGUCACAAUGCUGUGCUCCAACUUCACCAAUAAGAUCACUCCUCUUGUUUGGUACAGGCUGACCAACAAUGAAUCCAGCAUCAGUUCCAUCUCAGCUAUGUUCAGCUCUGAUAGUGAUGCAACGCUCCAUGCGGGAUUUCAAAAUGGAAGAUUCACAAUGACUUCCAACAACAGUCACAUCUUCCUGAACAUCAAACAAGUGGAUUUAUCAGACGUCGGCCUGUACUUCUGUGGACAUAAAAUAAACAGUGGCAUGGACAUCUUCAAUCACACCUAUUUAAAGAUGCAAGAAACGCUUCCUGAUUCACAGAACUCAACCUACAUGCUCCUGGGAGGUUUGAUCGUUUUCCUGAUCGUGGUCAUCGUUGCCUUGGUUUUCAAAAUCAGAAGCCUUCUCACAGUCUGAUGGCCUGAACUGUGCAGCAGUGAGUUUCCAGCACAGAACAAAAUGUGGACCAAGGCAAACAGCUGAGACAGAGCGGGAGCCACAUGUAGUGUAUGCUGCUACAAGAUAAAGCCAUGAAGCCACCAGAGCAGCAAGUUCAGAGAGGAAAUCUUACCUGUUGUUGGAGGUUUCUCUGUAGUCCUGUCUC